GACGAACGCUGGCGGCGUGCCUAAUACAUGCAAGUAGAACGCUGAAGAGAGGAGCUUGCUCUUCUUGGAUGAGUUGCGAACGGGUGAGUAACGCGUAGGUAACCUGCCUUGUAGCGGGGGAUAACUAUUGGAAACGAUAGCUAAUACCGCAUAACAAUGGAUGACCCAUGUCAUUUAUUUGAAAGGGGCAAAUGCUCCACUACAAGAUGGACCUGCGUUGUAUUAGCUAGUAGGUGAGGUAACGGCUCACCUAGGCGACGAUACAUAGCCGACCUGAGAGGGUGAUCGGCCACACUGGGACUGAGACACGGCCCAGACUCCUACGGGAGGCAGCAGUAGGGAAUCUUCGGCAAUGGGGGCAACCCUGACCGAGCAACGCCGCGUGAGUGAAGAAGGUUUUCGGAUCGUAAAGCUCUGUUGUAAGUCAAGAACGAGUGUGAGAGUGGAAAGUUCACACUGUGACGGUAGCUUACCAGAAAGGGACGGCUAACUACGUGCCAGCAGCCGCGGUAAUACGUAGGUCCCGAGCGUUGUCCGGAUUUAUUGGGCGUAAAGCGAGCGCAGGCGGUUUGAUAAGUCUGAAGUUAAAGGCUGUGGCUCAACCAUAGUUCGCUUUGGAAACUGUCAAACUUGAGUGCAGAAGGGGAGAGUGGAAUUCCAUGUGUAGCGGUGAAAUGCGUAGAUAUAUGGAGGAACACCGGUGGCGAAAGCGGCUCUCUGGUCUGUAACUGACGCUGAUGCUCGAAAGCGUGGGGAGCGAACAGGAUUAUAUACCCUGGUAGUCCAAGGGCGAAUUCCAUAUUGAUAUCAGCUGAUCUAUACCGGCGACCUCGAGGGGGGGAUCAGUAAUACAUUUUUGUUCCCUUUAUGUUGUAAUUAGGCUUCGAUUUGUUCCUGCGUGUGUGCAUGUGAUGUGGUUUGGAUUGUGAAGAUUGGGCGGUGACUGUGUGUUGUGUGUCUGUUGGAUGUUGACGUUUCUGCUGUGAGUGUGGUGUCUUAGUGUGAAUAUGAUGUGUUAUGUUGGUG
Molecule: ribosomal RNA, 1026 nt
Filed under: Anoxybacillus kestanbolensis
Lineage: Bacteria; Bacillati; Bacillota; Bacilli; Caryophanales; Anoxybacillaceae
Description: bacterial SSU rRNA
Rfam family: Bacterial small subunit ribosomal RNA (bases 1-859)
Source: RNAcentral